Molecule: long non-coding RNA, 596 nt
Filed under: Hordeum vulgare
Lineage: Eukaryota; Viridiplantae; Streptophyta; Magnoliopsida; Poales; Poaceae
Description: long non-coding RNA (HVUL_LNC015809)
Source: RNAcentral
CUCGCGAGGGCCUUGUUCAGGGUGGUGUUGUUCCUUCUUGAUCUUGCGUUGAUGAAAUGGGCUAGGCCUGGGUCGCAGGUAGGCAGGUCUGCAUAUCCCCAUUCCCAGAACGCCGACAGUAGCCACCGGGCUCAAGGCACACAUGGGUUGGCCUCUCGGUGAAGCAUUGAGGGCACCUCGAAGGAUCGCAGGCCCCAUUUGCAUGCAGGCCGGGAUUUUAUAACGGCAAGCCCAUCCUCUUCGUGCAGCAUCCCCUUACCUGCGUCGGUCGUCCACCUCCACCCCAUAUCCAUUCCGCCGCCAGCUCUUCCUCUGAUCCACGCUCAUCACAUUGUCUUUUCCUUGUUCUCCCAACCAUGCCUGAGAAAGGGGGAAAAUGCGGGGGCUCGCGGGGUUCAACCGUCCCGGUGGUGCCCUGGCCCACGCUAGAACAGUCGGCUGUGGUGAACCUCAAGGGGUUGAAGAAGGUUCGGCUGGUAGUUCUUGUCGACUCCAAUGAGUGGGGGGCCACCCAGAUCUGGCCGGGCUCACGGCCUCGGAGGGAGGGGUGUCCCCCGUGGUUCAUCUCCAUUUCCACACCCUCCUUUCUGGUGUAC